Rosa chinensis is the source of this 2178-nucleotide long non-coding RNA. RefSeq lists it as uncharacterized. The transcript is spliced from 16 exons. The record is from RefSeq and is a predicted model, not a curated record. Lineage: Eukaryota; Viridiplantae; Streptophyta; Magnoliopsida; Rosales; Rosaceae.
CUGUUCGAGAAGAAUAUCAAGCUGGUCGAAAAGUCGUUUUCGUCCUUUCUUUUCUCAGUGCUGGAUUUGACUGGAAAGACGAGAGAAGAAAGAAAAGAGGGAUAGAAGAGAAAAGAAAGAUGAACAGAAUAGAGGAAAGGAGAAGAUCUCGGCGACAAUAGAUCGGUUGCAAGAGGAAGAUUGAAAAAUCGUUCUAAAUAUUGUUGACUGGAAUAUCUACGGAAGAAGAAUAGGGAUUCAAAUCGUUGUAAGUAUUGUUCGCUGCAAUAUUUGGGUGUUUUUGCUGUGUUGUUUGGAGCAAGGUUGAAAAGGGAGAGAAAGAAUAAUGAGUAGAGGAAGGGAGAUACGUGUUAUCGUUCAUCUAUCCAUAAAAGUUAAUUGUUGGAGGUGGAGGAGUUAGGUGGUAAUAAUUAGACGCUUUCUGAAGUUGGUGGUUGAAUUUCAUCCCUCUUUGUCUCCAUGCAUCAAGUUUAAAACAGAAUAGCAACUAAAGUGUCAAAGCUGCAGAGUUUAAAAUAAAGGUUGCAAAUCAGAGUUUCUUUGUGAAGUGUGAGGCAUUCCAGUCCACAAAAGACCGGAGUUUCUUUGUGAAAAUUCAUUUGGUUUGCAUAUUAAUUUCGCAUUCCAGUCCAGUCACAUUCCAGUCCAGUUGCAAACCAGAGUUUCUUUAUUUGCUGACCAACUCCGUUUGUGCACGUUUAAAACACACCAGCAGCUAAAGUGUCAAAGCUCUAGAAUUUAAAAUCAAGGCCCCAUUUCAUUCUGAUAUGGAGAUAUCUAUACCUGAGAAGCCAUGUUCGAAAACCAAGUGUUUUCUCUUCCAUUGCCUAUAGAUGAGGUCUGCGAUUUUAAUCUUUGACAUUACAAAAGCAAUACAGCAGAUGGAUAUGCAGAAGGUGAGGCAGCGCUGGGACUCUAUGUAGAGCCUAGGCCACUGGUUUCCAUUUAAAACCUAAAAACCCAGAAAGCAAAAGUAGUCUGCAACCCAGAGAAUAGCUUGGUCGGAAUUGUCCCUCCAACUGUCCGCUUCAUGUGCCAGCUACUGAAGCACUCUCUCUCAAAUCUGAACUCUCAAUACUGCAGAAGAGGGAAGAAGGGUAAGAGGAAACGAAAGGAGACGGAGAUAUUGAGGAGGUUUUGAUCUGGGUUCUGCUGACGGGAGGAACGAAGAUGCAGAGGAGAGAAAGGAAAAGAAGAUGAAGAGGGAGAGCCUUCAGCAAUUAGAUACGCACUAAUCGAAAUUCCAAGGGAUGAGAAGAGAUGAGUUUUGCAGCAGAAUCUCAGCCAAAACAGGGAAUGCCCUGAGAAAUGUAAGGAAGCUGUUGCAUUACUGAUGGUUGUUGUAGCUAGAUUUUCUGAUUUACCAGUACAUACGUACAUUGUCUGACAUUAGGCAACUAUUUCAAGAGAGAUAUGCAAACUCUCUGGCUUAUUGUGUGGAUCAAAAGAUUCAAAAAGGUUUAGGUAUGCAAGGGAUACAUCAUUCGGAAAGAGUCAUUUGAACUUCUGGAGCCAGCCAUCAGUUUUCCUUUGCAUUGCGUGCUUCUUCAGACAGUUUUUCAGGCAGUUACUAUGAGUACCUGACUCUGAGGCAUGGUUUUAUCUCGGCACAUUUAGCACAUGAGAUCAUUUAUUCUCAUGCUAAUGGGUGAGACAAGUGGAUUUGGCAAAGAUCUUCGUUGUACUUUACGAUUUUCUGAGGAGGUGAAACUGGUCACCCGAGACCAUAGGAAGAAGGCAUAGAUGGAUGGGGAGAUAUGAAGCUCAUUUAUGGAACAAAGGGUCUUGGAACCCAACACAAAGGAAGAAGGGAAACCAGCUAAGUACUUAAUUACUAGCUAGACUGCUCAAAACCACUUAAUUGUCAGAUAAACAUAUCUUCAAUCAUCUAACGCAAAAUGUAUAUGCAGGGGCUUUAUGACGAAGAAGAAUCCACAGAAAAAGCAUAUGAGUUGGCAGCACUCAAGUAGCGGGGAGCAUCAACUUUUACAAAUUUUCCGGUGUAGGAUUAUGAGAAUGAAAUUGAUCUGUUGAACACUAACAAAAAGAAGAGUACUUGGCCUCUCAAAGAAGCUAUUUAUUCAUCUUCAAAUUAAUAAGCAGUUGAGCAGCCUACCUUAACUGUUGUAAAUAUUUCAAGAGAUGAAUUUGAUCUAUCUAUUUACUAAUUAUUUGAUA